ACUGAACCACAAGGAGCAGUCCUUUCCCUGCCUCCUGGGGCUGACUGCAUGUGACCUCAUUGUUUGCCUCCUAAGCCUCAUGACUUGAUUUAUUCUGGGUGAUUCUCUUUCCUAACAAUUCCCUAGCAUCCAAUUCCAGGAAAAUCCACAUUGCCAUGAAUUGAUUUUAGCCAGCCUUGUAUUAUGUACUAUCUGAACAGUUUUUUACUAACACACCAUUCCCUCUUAGAAAGUGAAAGAACUGGACUCUUGGCUUUAAUCAAUGUUCGUUCAGAGAGAAGUGACCGACCUACAACGACUGUCAGGUUUAAACUGGAACAAGAGCUAAGGCCUUCGGUCUCCCUCUCUAGGACCACAUGCUCUACUCUCUGUGGUCAGGCACUGUAGCACUUGAAAAAGUAAGAGGAGCAAAGGGAGCAAGCCUCCCCUGCCUACACAUACAACUACCACGCACUUCUAGCUCAACAAACUCAGCAGCCACUCAGCAUGCGUUGGUGAGUGGUACCACUGUUGGUAUAUCAUCUCAAGAUGGGAUAACCAGAGUGACUUCCUCCCAAGUCUCGGGGAGUUGAUAAGACCUAACCCACAAAGACUGAUGAUAUCUUUAGAGCUUAUCUGUUUGGAGCUAGAGGAAUCUAACUGAAGAUUGGACAAUUCAAAGGCUGGACAACGAGACAAAAAAUUACAGUCUGCUGGGAGGAUGGAAGAGCUCACAGCAGCACUAUGCAGAUAUCUUCAGGACAUCAUGGGAAUUAAGAAACCAUAGGAGACUUCCUGGAAGAACACACAUUUAAGCACAUGCAUGGGGUUUGGGUUUAUACUCAGAGAGAAAAACCGGAAACUGGUUGUAUCAGGAGGGGUUCCAGUGCUAGAUUUCCCUUGCACAGGAUAAGAUGGGGCCACUGGUUGAAAUUGAAGGUACUUCCCAUUCUAAAUACCACUUAGUUACCCAGAUACCCAAGCUAGAAAGGAAAUUAAGUCAAGGGAGAUGACAGAAGGGAGGAAAUAGUUAUAUAUGCCACAAGGAGAGCACAUAGUGGUCAUGCCCACAGGAACGCUGAGCACAGACUUGCCCACACAUCCUGAUCCAUCCCUUAAGCAUCUGCUCUGAAUACAGCCCAUGGCUGGGAGAUACAGAGUCCCAUUAGUAGGAGCAUUAUUAUUUAAGAAAUGGAUGUAAAGAUUUAAGUGAGGGGAGAUAAUGAGUAGUAGCUAGACUUUGAACUUGGUGAAUUUGAACGUGAGAUGGUUUACAAAGAUAUGUGGAAUAGGUAGUUCCUAAUUUGAUCAGGUCUUGAAUAAUCAUUGUGCUGAACACACUUUCCUGAGGAGAGAUGCUCCUAGGCUUUGGUAGGUUUUAAGGAUCUUUGAGGAGAAGCACAUGCCAGCCUGUCUGUAUAAACCCAUUUUUCACUUUCUGAAUAAUAUUAGAUAGGACCUUACCUGCUUUGUUCCCUGACAUCUUCACCUGAGCAUCACAGUAGUGCUGCUAGGAUGUACUAAUACACAUCAGGGUCCUGAGCAUCACAGUAGUGCUGCUAGGAUGUACUAAUACACAUCAGGGUCCAGGUUGGCUGUAGAUAGUGAGCAGCCAUAUUCAAUCAUUAUUGUGUCCCCACCAGGGCCCACCUCUCCUGGUGAUGUGGAAAGACCCAGAGUGGGCAUCUCUUGAUUCCUCUUGGACAAACUGCAACUCAAGUCUUUACUAAAAUUUCCCGUGUAAGGAGAGACUUUUGUUUGAAAGUAGAGGCCACAUUUGCCUACAUUUCCACAAGUUAGACAUGACAAAGAGCAGGGUGUGAGACCAAGAGAAGUCUCCUCCCCCAUUGACUUCUGUAAAAAGAACCUCCUAAAUCUGGAGUUCAGGGUUGGUCUUGGUGAUUUAACCAAGAAAGUGUAUGCCUUUAGCCUCCAUGCCAUGGAAGUUAGACACAGGACUAAUAGGUUCUGCUUGUGCAUUCCGCACCUGACAUAGAACUGAAUGCACUGAUGUGUCUUACCUUACGCCAAGAGACGAGGAUCUCAUUCACUACCUCAACCAGAUUUUUCCAAAGAAGCAUGCAUUGAGUUUAUCACCUGGUCAGGGAGAGUAUUAAUACUUAUCUACCACCAUAAAGUCAUUUUAACCCAUCAAGACCUCUAGAAAUUAUUAAAAGUUUCUUAUGAUUUAGAA
Long non-coding RNA from Mastomys coucha (southern multimammate mouse), 2173 nucleotides. RefSeq lists it as uncharacterized. Lineage: Eukaryota; Metazoa; Chordata; Mammalia; Rodentia; Muridae. The record is from RefSeq and is a predicted model, not a curated record. The transcript is spliced from 6 exons.